UACGUAGGGGGCGAGCGUUAUCCGGAUUCAUUGGGCGUAAAGGGCGCGCAGGCGGCGCCGGGCAGUGGCGCGUGGAAUCUCCCCGCUCACCGGGGAGGGGUCGCGCCAGACGACGGCGCUUGGGGCGGGCAGAGGCGUGCGGAACGGGCGGAGUAGGGGUGAAAUCCGUAGAGACCGUCCGGAACACCGGUGGCGAAGGCGGCACGCUGGGCCUGUGAGUCGCAAGACUCUUUACCCGACGCUCGGGCGCGAAAGCGUGGGGAGCGAACGGA
Molecule: ribosomal RNA, 272 nt
Filed under: uncultured bacterium
Lineage: Bacteria
Description: partial 16S ribosomal RNA
Rfam family: Bacterial small subunit ribosomal RNA
Source: RNAcentral